UGGGGAAUAUUGGACAAUGGGCGCAAGCCUGAUCCAGCCAUGCCGCGUGUGUGAAGAAGGCCUUCGGGUUGUAAAGCACUUUUGUUGGGAAAGAAAUCCUGUCGGCUAAUACCCGGCGGGGAUGACGGUACCCAAAGAAUAAGCACCGGCUAACUUCGUGCCAGCAGCCGCGGUAAUACGAAGGGUGCAAGCGUUACUCGGAAUUACUGGGCGUAAAGCGUGCGUAGGUGGUUCGUUAAGUCAGAUGUGAAAGCCCCGGGCUCAACCUGGGAAUUGCAUUUGAUACUGGCGGACUAGAGUGCGGUAGAGGAGAGUGGAAUUCCCGGUGUAGCAGUGAAAUGCGUAGAGAUCGGGAGGAACAUCAGUUGCGAAGGCGGCUCUCUGGACCAGCACUGACACU
RNAcentral lists this ribosomal RNA (400 nucleotides) under uncultured bacterium. RNAcentral describes it as "bacterial SSU rRNA". It matches the Rfam family "Bacterial small subunit ribosomal RNA", at positions 355 to 747 of the family's 1533-position model. The record is from RNAcentral.